Penaeus monodon (black tiger shrimp) is the source of this 444-nucleotide long non-coding RNA. RefSeq lists it as uncharacterized. The transcript has 4 exons. The record is from RefSeq and is a predicted model, not a curated record. NCBI's taxonomy places the organism in Eukaryota, Metazoa, Arthropoda, Malacostraca, Decapoda, Penaeidae.
GAAACUAGUAGUUGAAGCGACCGACUUGAGGCUGAAGGAAGACCUACUGAACUCACCUGCUGUUUGGACCGCAGUGCCAUAGUGGUGCUAGUCUAGCUUUUUGCCAUGUCUCUAGAUCCAGCAGCCUAUUGCUUUAGCGAAGACGAGAAAGUGCUCGAGAAAAUGUUGUUGAUCGCUAUGUAAAGCGAAGACGAUAAAAAACAAUACCAGAAAAAAGUGGUUGCGAGAGACACAGUGCCCGGCGUCCAGGAGUCUCCGUCCCGCCACUUCUGCAGGACUCUCGGCGGCCUCCUUCAGGAUGGCGUGCGGGUCCUCCCAGCUGUCGUCCCUCCUGCUGACGGCGCAGUCCUCCUCGACGCCGCCCCACCCGGAGGACGACUUGUUCCAGAUGUCACGCGAGGAGAAGGAGAAGCUCCUGACCAGAGAUGUGAACAUGAAAGAGAA